RNAcentral lists this long non-coding RNA (2598 nucleotides) under Astyanax mexicanus (Mexican tetra). Its description in RNAcentral is "lncRNA (ENSAMXG00005007626.1)". Lineage: Eukaryota; Metazoa; Chordata; Actinopteri; Characiformes; Acestrorhamphidae. The record is from RNAcentral.
CUCGUAUUUAUUACUGAAUUUUCCUUUAAGGAAGGACCCACAUUCUAAAAAAAACCAAAAAAAAAAAAACCAAUGGAAUGCAGACAACUGGCGAAAUACUAGUCUGGUCUUGUUUUGUGUUUAAGCUCUUUAAGAGCUUCUGAACAUUUUUAGUUUCGUUCUCAUCUUUUUACAGUUAACAGAGAGGGAGAGAGACCCAGACGUGUAAAAUCUAAAGAUAAAAGGUGAGUUUGCAGAUUGUGAUUAUUAAACCAUUACCAUUGUUUUCAAUGGGAUUUUAAAGCACGAUAAGCAGGCAAAAAGUGUGUUUUAAAACAACAAAUCAUGCUUUUUUGUUGUUCGUCUUGAGUUGUUUUUUUGUGAGCAGAAGUAUUGGGACAUGUGACUAUCAGGUGUGUUUGUAAAGCAGGUGUGUCCUGAUAUUUUGACUAUUCAAACAUUAAACAGUGCUGAAAGUCUAAGUUCAGUUUUAGGUUUCUUACCUAUAUAUUACUAAAAUAGGGCUUGCCAUAAGUGUGUAUUCUUAAAAGUUUAAUUUCUUCUACUAAUCUUUGCAGGAAGUUUUGUUAUUCUGAAAGGAGAUUACCUGUUUUGUGUGAGCAUUUUUCCAAUUAUAUGAAUAAAUCAGUAAGGAUGUAGAACAAUUGUUAAAUAUAUUCUUUAAAAGAUUAGUAGUAAACUGUUAGAUGAAAAUAACUUUUUCACUGAUCGCCAUCUUAUUGAUCUUAUAUAUUGUGUGGCCAGUGUGAUUAGUAGUGAUGGUGGUGUUAUUAUGUUUGUAGAUAACAUGGCAUUCUGCAGACCUGCUGUCUCUGUCCUGAUCUUACUGCUGUAUUUACAUGGAGUUGUCUGUGCACCAGCUUCAGCUGAAGUAACAGUGAAGGCGUAUCUUAAUGACUCUGCGACCCUGCCCUGCUCUGGACAACACUCAGGGACAGUCGUGUGGGUCAUGCUCGAGAAACCUGAUCAUGUUGUGGCUUGGUGUAAUCAAACAUCAUGCUGGUCAGAGCACGGGUUUGAGAUGUCUCAUGAUAAUUACCGGAAUGGAACUUUCUCCCUGAACAUCACUGCAGUUGAGCACAGUAAUGCCGGCCUGUACCAGUGCCUGGAUGACCAUAAGAUCAUCAGUGAUGUCCGGCUUAAGGUUGAGAAUAUUCCCUCCAUAAACGUGGACCGGUACCACAGUGUUGUUCUCCCUUGCCAUGGGAUAUCUCCUGGUUUGGUAACCUGGGUCAAAAAUGAUAAACCCUCUGAUCCUCUGGCUGAGUGUGAUCGGACUUCCUGCAGAUCAGUGAAGGAGGGAUAUCAGAUGAUCUAUGAUCAAUACCUGCAGGGAGAUUUCUCUCUGAUCAUCACUGAAGCUGAUUUCAGUAAGAGAGGGAAUUACACGUGUCAGUGUGAUAGUUUCCUCUUUCGUGUGCAGCUUCUCAUAAAUCCUCUGAAUUCCCCAGUUCAUAUACAGUCUGGUGAUUCUCUGGUGCUGGCUUUAGACCUACACGAUCCAUUGGAGGUGAUCUAUAAAAGAAGUGGAGCAGCCCAUCAAACCAGUGUUCAGAUCUGUACUCUGUAUGGACGCUCACUCCACUGUAUUGAUAAAUAUAAAAAUAGAGUGUUUCUACAUUCUGCUCUGGAGCUGAGUGGAAUGAACGUGUCUGAUAGUGGAGUGUACACCAUGAGGACCAUCGAGAAUAAAGAGGAUAUUCACAUCUACACCGUGAAUGUUACAGAUUACCAACGUCCACCCCUCCCCUCACCCCUGGAUGGAAAAGUCAUUUGCAUCAGUUUUUUUUUGUGUAUAUCAGUGAUUAUUAAUGUGAUUUUGGUGGUUAGGCUUUGCGUAUUGAAAAGGCAGCACAAAAAGGCAAAUGUUACCUGUGUCCUGAAAAACAGAUGUUGUAGAAAUGAAGAUGCAAAUGAGAGUACAGCAGAAGAACAGAUACUGCAAACUGAGCAACAAUAAGCCAUAACUCUGAGAGAUUAUUUUUAUUACAAAUAUUUGCAUCAGUGUGGUGUGUUGGCACUAAUUCAGGGCUUUACUGUAGAAGAUUAUAUUAUAUUAUAUUAUCUUCACUCAAUCACAACUGAAACCUUUAUUCCUGAAUAUACAUAGGAGCUUUACAUUUUAAAUUCCUUCUUUCUUAUUGUGCUCCUCAGACUUAAAACACAAUUAUACCAUUACCUUACCAUAGCAUAUUAUUUCAUUGUCAAUUGUUCAUUGUUUUUUCGUGUGUAAUUGUAGUGAUGAUAUAUUAGAUUGAUUACAAUAUUAGUGUGAAAAGAUUUGUUUAUUGGGGGAAACUAUUACUAUUACUGUACUAUAAAUGAAAGGAAGCUCUAAUACUCUGUUUGAGCCUCUGAACAAUGUGAGAUAUGUAUGAAUAUAUAAUACAAAAAACAAGUAAGUGCUAUCUUUUAGAAAUACAUUUAUCUGUUAUUGCAAAUUAUAUCUUCCUACAUAUAUAUGUCUGUAUAUACGUACUUAAAGCUACUUGAUUACUAUCACUUUACUUCUCAACUUCUCCAACAUAUAGAAAAAUCUCCUUGGUAUUGUAAAUGACUAAACUUUUCUAAUAAUAAAGUUUGAAACAGUGGAUUACA